Molecule: transfer RNA, 72 nt
Filed under: Urogymnus dalyensis (giant freshwater stingray)
Lineage: Eukaryota; Metazoa; Chordata; Chondrichthyes; Myliobatiformes; Dasyatidae
Description: tRNA-Val
Rfam family: tRNA
About the family: Transfer RNA (tRNA) molecules are approximately 80 nucleotides in length. Their secondary structure includes four short double-helical elements and three loops (D, anti-codon, and T loops).
Source: RNAcentral
CAAAAUGUAGCUAAAACAGUAAAGCACCUCUCUUACACUGAGAAGAUAUCCGUGCAAUUCGAAUCAUUUUGA